Molecule: ribosomal RNA, 499 nt
Filed under: uncultured bacterium
Lineage: Bacteria
Description: bacterial SSU rRNA
Rfam family: Bacterial small subunit ribosomal RNA
Source: RNAcentral
AACGAACGCUGGCGGCGCGCCUAAUACAUGCAAGUCGAGCGAGAAGACGUAGCAAUACGUUUGUAAAGCGGCGAACGGGUGGGGAAUACAUGGGUAACCUACCCUCGAGUGGGGAAUAACUAGCCGAAAGGUUAGCUAAUACCGCGUACGCUCCUUGGACUUCGGUUCAGGGAGGAAAGCGAUACCGUGGGUAUCGCGCUCUUGGAUGGGCUCAUGUCCUAUCAGCUUGUUGGUGAGGUAACGGCUCACCAAGGCUUCGACGGGUAGCUGGUCUGAGAGGACAAUCAGCCACACUGGCACUGCGACACGGGCCAGACUCCUACGGGAGGCAGCAGUAAGGAAUAUUGCGCAAUGGGCGAAAGCCUGACGCAGCGACGCCGCGUGGGGGAUGAAGGUCUUCGGAUUGUAAACCCCUUUCGGGAGGGAAGAUGGAACGAGCAAUCGUUCGGACGGUACCUCCAGAAGCAGCCACGGCUAACUUCGUGCCAGCCGCCGCGGU